AUCGUGCAAGCUUUCAAUAAAGAGCUUGAGGAGGCCGUUAAAACUCUCGGUCAAAGAGGUAGUAGAAUUUCUAGGAUAUACAAUACAUAGGUAAUGUACAUGGAGAUGAGCCUGUUGGCUGAUAGCUUCUUUUGCAAUUUGCUAACUGAAUAUGUGAUAGUACCUGAAGGAUCCAUUUUUACCCCAUAUAUGGUGGCAUGCAAGUCUGGAACUGUAUAUACGGUGGCUGUUUUGAGUAAACUUCAGAGAUUACAGAAUAGAUGGCCUCCUGAUAAUGAGCUUGCUACCAUUUUUUAGUACAACAAAAGCUUGUUGCAAGCUUUAUUCAGACAGGAAUACAUUGAAGAAUUUUUUUCAUCAGAGUGGAAGGCCGUUACCUGCAACCAUUUCACUCGGGAAUAGAUUACUCGGUUAAAGCUAGUCAAAAGUUUGCCGAUUCUAUCACCUGUUAGCUGCACCAAGACAGAAAUACGAAGGUAAGUGCUUCCGUUUCCCU
Cucurbita moschata (crookneck pumpkin) is the source of this 496-nucleotide long non-coding RNA. RefSeq lists it as uncharacterized. The record is from RefSeq and is a predicted model, not a curated record. Lineage: Eukaryota; Viridiplantae; Streptophyta; Magnoliopsida; Cucurbitales; Cucurbitaceae. The transcript is spliced from 6 exons.